RNAcentral lists this ribosomal RNA (1423 nucleotides) under uncultured prokaryote. Its description in RNAcentral is "partial 16S ribosomal RNA". It matches the Rfam family "Bacterial small subunit ribosomal RNA". The record is from RNAcentral.
GAACGAACGCUGGCGGCAGGCCUAACACAUGCAAGUCGAGCGCGCGCUUUCGGGUGCGAGCGGCGCACGGGUGAGUAACGCGUGGGAAUCUACCCCGGGGUGGGGAAUAACCGCUGGAAACGGCGGCUAAUACCGCAUACGCCUUGAGAGGGAAAGCCGCCGCUCUAUUGGAGAAGCCUGCGUCGGAUUAGCUAGUUGGUGGGGUAAAGGCCCACCAAGGCGACGAUCCGUAGCUGGUCUGAGAGGAUGAUCAGCCACACUGGGACUGAGACACGGCCCAGACUCCUACGGGAGGCAGCAGUGGGGAAUAUUGGACAAUGGGGGCAACCCUGAUCCAGCCAUGCCGCGUGUGUGAAGAAGGCCUUAGGGUUGUAAAGCACUUUCGCUAGGGAUGAUAAUGACAGUACCUACAGAAGAAGCACCGGCAAACUCCGAGCCAGCAGCCGCGGUAAUACGGAGGGUGCGAGCGUUAAUCGGAAUUACUGGGCGUAAAGCGCACGCAGGCGGUUUGUUAAGCUAGAUGUGAAAGCCCUGGGCUCAAACUAGGAACUGCAUUCAAAACUGUCAGGCUAGAGUAUGGUAGAGGAUAGUGGAAUUUCCGGUGUAGCGGUGAAAUGCGUAGAUAUUGGGAAGAACACCAGUGGCGAAGGCGGCCAUCUGGCUCGGUACUGACGCUGAGGUGCGAAAGCGUGGGGAGUAAACAGGAUUAGAUCCCCUGGUAGUCCACGCCGUAAACGAUGUGUGCUAGCUGUGGCGGGGUUUAGCCUUCGGUGGCGCAGCUAACGCGUUAAGCGCACCGCCUGGGGAGUACGGUCGCAAGAUUAAAACUCAAAGGAAUUGACGGGGGCCCGCACAAGCGGUGGGGCAUGUGGUUUAAUUCGAAGCAACGCGAAGAACCUUACCAACCCUUAACAGCCUGGUCGCGGAGGGCGGAGACGCCUUCCUUCAGUUCGGCUGGACAAGAUACAGGUGCUGCAUGGCUGUCGUCAGCUCGUGUCGUGAGAUGUUGGGUUAAGUCCCGCAACGAGCGCAACCCUCGUCCUCAGUUGCCACCGGUUCGGCCGGGCACUCUGGAGGAACUGCCGGUGAUAAGCCGGAGGAAGGUGGGGAUGACGUCAAGUCCUCAUGGCCCUUAUGGGCUGGGCUACACACGUGCUACAAUGGCGGUGACAGAGGGCAGCGAGACCGCAAGGUUGAGCAAAUCCCUAAAAACCGUCUCAGUUCGGAUUGUACUCUGCAACUCGAGUGCAUGAAGGUGGAAUCGCUAGUAAUCGCGGAUCAGCAUGCCGCGGUGAAUACGUUCCAGGGCCUUGUACACACCGCCCGUCACACCAUGGGAGUUGGUUUGACCCGAAGACGGUCAGCUAACCUUAAACUUCGGUUUGGGGAGGCAGCCGGCCACGGUAGGGUCAGCGACUGGGGU